Molecule: ribosomal RNA, 494 nt
Filed under: uncultured bacterium
Lineage: Bacteria
Description: partial 16S ribosomal RNA
Rfam family: Bacterial small subunit ribosomal RNA
Source: RNAcentral
GACGAACGCUGGCGGCGUGCUUAACACAUGCAAGUCGAACGGUGAAGCGCCUUCCUUUUUGGUGGGUGUGGAUGAGUGGCGAACGGGUGAGUAACACGUGAGUAACCUGCCCCCUUCUUCUGGAUAACCGCAUGAAGGUGUGGCUAAUACGGGAUAUUCUGGGUCUGUCGCAUGAUGGGUCUGGGAAAGAUAUUGUUUCGGUGGGGGAUGGGCUCGCGGCCUAUCAGCUUGUUGGUGGGGUGAUGGCCUACCAAGGCGGUGACGGGUAGCCGGCCUGAGAGGGUGGAGGGUCACACUGGGACUGAGACACGGCCCAGACUCCUACGGGAGGCAGCGGUGGGGAAUAUUGCACAAUGGGCGCAAGCCUGAUGCAGCGACGCCGCGUGAGGGAUGGAGGCCUGCGGGUUGUGAACCUCUUUCGCCAGUGAAGCAGGCCUGCCUCGUUUGUGGGUGGGUUGACGGUAGCUGGAUAAGAAGCGCCGGCUAACUACGUG